UUGAACCAGCCAUGCCGCGAGCAGGAAAGACGGCCUUCUGGGUUGUUAACUGCUUUUAUCAGGGAAGAAAAUGUCCUUGCGAGGAUAAUUGCCGGUACCAGAAGAAUAAGCACCGGCUAACUCCGUGCCAGCAGCCGCGGUAAUACGGAGGGUGCAAGCGUUGUCCGGAUUUAUUGGGUUUAAAGGGUGGGUAGGCGGCCUAUAAAGUCAGUGGUGAAAGGUAUCAGCUUAACUGAUGAAAUGCCAUUGAAACUUAUAGGCUUGAGUACAGACGAGGUAGGCGGAAUUUAUGGUUAGCGGUGAAAUGCAUAGAUACCAUAAAGAACACCGAUAGCGAAGGCAGCUUACUAGACUGUAACUGACGCUGAGGCACGAAAGCGUGGGGAGCGAACAGGAUUAGAUACCCUGGUAGUCCACGCCGUA
Molecule: ribosomal RNA, 423 nt
Filed under: uncultured marine bacterium
Lineage: Bacteria
Description: bacterial SSU rRNA
Rfam family: Bacterial small subunit ribosomal RNA
Source: RNAcentral